CAUUAUUGAAAAGGCAACCCUUCGGGGUUCAACCUUAAACCCUUUGUCUUAAUUACCUGUUUCUUUGGCGGGCUUGCCCGUCAGAAGUUUUCUCAAACCCAUUAUAAAAUGUGUCAUCUGAAAUAAAAAACAAAAUAAAUUAAAAACUUUCAACAACGGAUCUCUUGGUUCUGGCAUCGAUGAAGAACGCAGCGAAAUGCGAUAAGUAAUGUGAAUUGCAGAAUUCAGUGAAUCAUCGAAUCUUUGAACGCAUAUUGCGCCCUUUGGCAUUCCGAAGGGCAUACCUGUUCGAGCGUCAUUACACCCCUCAAGUCAAACCUUUCGGUUAGCUUGGUGUUGGGCCUUGCCGGAAGGCAUGCCUAAAAAUCAGCGAUGGUACGUUAAACCACGGACGCACAAAUGUCGUUACGUAGGGGCCACGGCACCAGUCUAAUGAUUAAUUUCUCAAUGUUG
Molecule: ribosomal RNA, 453 nt
Filed under: uncultured fungus
Lineage: Eukaryota; Fungi
Description: eukaryotic LSU rRNA
Rfam family: 5.8S ribosomal RNA (bases 145-298)
Source: RNAcentral